UAAUUUGUAUGAAUAGUUUAAUACUGAAAAAAUAAAAUGUAUAAACUUCCAAUUUUAAAAAAGUUCUUUAUUAGGCUGGAAACUGUGUUUUUGUUACAUGCAUUGGCAGUAUUUCUGUGUCACAGAUUAUUGUUUUCUACAAGAUAUCCCUAAAUCAUCUGGAAAAACAAGCAUUCCCACUGACCAAGUCUUUUGCGCCCAGUGUUCUUCAGUUAUUAAAGUUAUGAUUAAAUUUUCAUAAUCCUCAUUUAUUCACUCAGCAGACAUUUAUUGACCUCAUCUAUGAGUUAGACAUGGUCAAAAUGACUUUUGAACUGUACCUAUGAGAAGGAGUCAGCCGUGGGCAGAUCAGGGGGGAGAGAGUUCCAACACAGAACACAAAGUUCCUCAAGAGGAAAGAAACCUAAUGCACUCAAGGAACAGAGAAAGCCUUGUUGAAGCAUGCUGAAGAAGAGCUGUGAAAAUCAGAAGUCUGAAAUAGAUUUCACUGGGCUGAAAUCAAGACAUCAACUGGGCUGUGUUAAUUCUGGGGUAUCUAGGUGCCUGAAAUAUGAAGAGUGGAAAACAUGCUCAGAAAGGGGAAAUUUGGAUUCAGACAUGCACACAGGAGAACACCAUAUGAAGAUGCUGGCAGAGAUCAGGGUGAUGCUUCCAUAAGCUAAGGAGCACCAAAGACUGCAAGCAAGUCACCAGAAGACAUUUGGAGGCAUGGAACAGAUUCUUUCUUAUAGUCCUCAGAAAGAAGCAAUCCUAUUGACACGUUGGUUUUGGUCUGGAAUCCAGAACUGUAAAACAAAAAAUUUCUGUUCUUUAAAAAAUAAAUUUC
Molecule: long non-coding RNA, 826 nt
Organism: Manis pentadactyla (Chinese pangolin)
Lineage: Eukaryota; Metazoa; Chordata; Mammalia; Pholidota; Manidae
Exons: 4
Source: RefSeq, a predicted model, not a curated record